Long non-coding RNA from Eupeodes corollae, 504 nucleotides. RefSeq lists it as uncharacterized. NCBI's taxonomy places the organism in Eukaryota, Metazoa, Arthropoda, Insecta, Diptera, Syrphidae. The transcript is spliced from 2 exons. The record is from RefSeq and is a predicted model, not a curated record.
AUCCCCUGGAUGAAUAAAGGCCUAUAGCUGAUAUGGGUAUCGCUCAGUCUUCUGUGAUUCAUUUUAUAUGCGUUUGUCCAUUUGCGGCUGCAGCCAUAUGGCUCGGCUCUUAAUUGAGUCAAUUCGCACAAAUUGACGGGGAUUUUUUGAAAUAAUUCUUCAAAAUGAUAGACUCAGUAUAAAAGGCAAAGUAUAACAUAUUAAAGACAUCAGUUGAUUUUAGAAUCUCGUUGCUGAAAUUAAAUUUUCAUUAAGUUUAUUAAAAUGGCCGAUAAAGAAGUAAAGAAACCCAAUAACGAACCCAUGAGGUCGGUAGAAGUUCGUGGCGAACAUCAUGGUCGUCAUGGAGCAAGUGCUAGUGUAACCUACACCCAUCCUGUUGGUAAAAAUGUUGAUGUUUAUGCUCAAGUCAACAGACAAUUUAAAUAUAACGAUACCAGUGGACAUGUUGGUAUAGGAUAUAAAUUUUGAAAAUUAUAAAUUUUUCAAAAACCUUUUGCACAA